AGUAACCUGCCUUGGAGUGGGGAAUAACAGUUGGAAACAGCAGCUAAUACCGCAUAAUAUGUCUGUGUCGCAUGGCACUGGGCAUCAAAGAUUUAUCGCUCUGAGAUGGACUCGCGUCUGAUUAGCUAGUUGGCGGGGUAACGGCCCACCAAGGCGACGAUCAGUAGCCGGACUGAGAGGUUGGCCGGCCACAUUGGGACUGAGACACGGCCCAGACUCCUACGGGAGGCAGCAG
This 235-nucleotide ribosomal RNA is filed under the name uncultured bacterium. Its description in RNAcentral is "partial 16S ribosomal RNA". It matches the Rfam family "Bacterial small subunit ribosomal RNA", at positions 120 to 354 of the family's 1533-position model. The record is from RNAcentral.